ACGAAGGGUGCAAGCGUUAAUCGGAAUUACUGGGCGUAAAGGGUGCGUAGGUGGUUUUUUAAGUCUGCUGUGAAAUCCCCGGGCUCAACCUGGGAAUUGCAGUGGAUACUGGAUCACUAGAGUGUGGUAGAGGGAUGCGGAAUUUCUGGUGUAGCAGUGAAAUGCGUAGAUAUCGGAAGGAACACCAGUGGCGAAAGCGGCUUCCUGGUCCGACACCGACGUUCAGGCACGAAAGCGUGGGGAGCAAACAGGA
Molecule: ribosomal RNA, 253 nt
Filed under: uncultured prokaryote
Description: partial 16S ribosomal RNA
Rfam family: Bacterial small subunit ribosomal RNA
Source: RNAcentral